GACGAACCGAGCGAACGUUGUUCGGAAUCACUGGGCUUAAAGGGCGCGUAGGCGGGCUGCCGCGUCCGGGGUGAAAUCCUCCGGCUCAACCGGGGAACGGCCUCGGGUACGGGCGGCCUCGAGGGGGGUAGGGGCGUGCGGAACUGUGGGUGGAGCGGUGAAAUGCGUUGAUAUCAUUUGGAACGCCAAUGGUGAAAACAGGCAGCUGGGAGUGUGCUGACGCUGAGACACGAAAGCCAGGGGAGCGAACGGG
RNAcentral lists this ribosomal RNA (253 nucleotides) under uncultured bacterium. RNAcentral describes it as "partial 16S ribosomal RNA". It matches the Rfam family "Bacterial small subunit ribosomal RNA", at positions 524 to 776 of the family's 1533-position model. The record is from RNAcentral.